RNAcentral lists this unclassified non-coding RNA (348 nucleotides) under uncultured Psathyrella. Its description in RNAcentral is "sequence contains ITS1". The stretch from base 1 to 105 matches the Rfam family "5.8S ribosomal RNA", at positions 50 to 154 of the family's 154-position model. Lineage: Eukaryota; Fungi; Basidiomycota; Agaricomycetes; Agaricales; Psathyrellaceae. The record is from RNAcentral.
GAAAUGCGAUAAGUAAUGUGAAUUGCAGAAUUCAGUGAAUCAUCGAAUCUUUGAACGCACCUUGCGCUCCUUGGUAUUCCGAGGAGCAUGCCUGUUUGAGUGUCAUUAAAUUCUCAACUUCAUCAGUUUUGUUAUGAAACUGUGUGAAGCUUGGAUGUGGGGGCUUGCAGAAUCCAUCAUGGUGUCCUGCUCCCCUUAAAUGAAUUAGCGAGUUCAAACUGGGCUCUGUCUAUUGGUGUGAUAACUAUCUACGCCGUGGAUUGAGCUUAGACUUGCUUCUAACCGUCUGAAAAGACAGCUUUUUGACAAUUUGACCUCAAAUCAGGUAGGACUACCCGCUGAACUUAA